UACCAUUUAUAGGGGGGUGCGCGGAUUAGGUAGAUUAAAUAGAUUUAGUAGGUUUUUAGUGAAUCUAUUUUUAUUAAUGCGUGGAUAUUUUGUUUUAAUAUUUUUUAAUAAUUUACUUUUUUCGUAAGAUAUAUUCAUUAAUUAUUUUAUCCUGUAGUAAUUGCAGAGUUACAAAUUCUUGUAUAAUAAUUUAUCCUAUCUGUACUAUAAUAUAUAUCUAAUUCUAGAUUUUCAAUGUUAUUUAUUAUCUUGUGUUGUUCUUCUCGUAGUGAGUUUUUUAAAUUAUAUAAACUAUCACAUGUAUUUUUAUCUAAAUUUUCUAAGGUUUUUUCUAUCCAUGCUAAUUUUUCUUUUAGGUCUUUUAUUAUUUUUCUAAUUCGGUUUCUAUAACUAAUUUCAUUAUUUAGAUUUUCUUGAUUUUCUCUAGUUUGUCUAAUAUAUUCUA
RNAcentral lists this long non-coding RNA (445 nucleotides) under Capsicum annuum. Its description in RNAcentral is "long non-coding RNA (CANN_LNC005180)". The record is from RNAcentral. Lineage: Eukaryota; Viridiplantae; Streptophyta; Magnoliopsida; Solanales; Solanaceae.